This 502-nucleotide ribosomal RNA is filed under the name uncultured Lachnospiraceae bacterium. RNAcentral describes it as "bacterial SSU rRNA". It matches the Rfam family "Bacterial small subunit ribosomal RNA", at positions 15 to 507 of the family's 1533-position model. The record is from RNAcentral. Lineage: Bacteria; Bacillati; Bacillota; Clostridia; Lachnospirales; Lachnospiraceae.
UAUCCUGGCUCAGGAUGAACGCUGGCGGCGUGCUUAACACAUGCAAGUCGAACGGAGUCAUCAUUUUGAAGCAAUUAGCUUGCUAAGAGUGGAAAUGUUGAUGACUUAGUGGCGGACGGGUGAGUAACGCGUGGGUAACCUGCCAUAUACAGGGGGAUAACACUUAGAAAUAGGUGCUAAUACCGCAUAAGCGCACAGUUUUGCAUGAGACAGUGUGAAAAACUACGGUGGUAUAUGAUGGACCCGCGUCUGAUUAGCUGGUUGUGGGGUAACGGCCCACCAAGGCGACGAUCAGUAGCCGGCCUGAGAGGGUGGACGGCCACAUUGGGACUGAGACACGGCCCAAACUCCUACGGGAGGCAGCAGUGGGGAAUAUUGGACAAUGGGGGAAACCCUGAUCCAGCGACGCCGCGUGAGUGAAGAAGUAUUUCGGUAUGUAAAGCUCUAUCAGCAGGGAAGAAAAAUGACGGUACCUGACUAAGAAGCCCCGGCUAACUACGUG